Molecule: transfer RNA, 65 nt
Filed under: Ipomoea nil (Japanese morning glory)
Lineage: Eukaryota; Viridiplantae; Streptophyta; Magnoliopsida; Solanales; Convolvulaceae
Rfam family: tRNA
About the family: Transfer RNA (tRNA) molecules are approximately 80 nucleotides in length. Their secondary structure includes four short double-helical elements and three loops (D, anti-codon, and T loops).
Source: Rfam by way of RNAcentral
UUGUAGCUCAGUUGGUUAGAGCACCCGUUUAGUAAGCGGGAGGUCUUGAGUUCAAUUCUUAACAA